Molecule: ribosomal RNA, 253 nt
Filed under: uncultured archaeon
Lineage: Archaea
Description: partial 16S ribosomal RNA
Rfam family: Archaeal small subunit ribosomal RNA
Source: RNAcentral
AACCAGCACCUCAAGUGGUCAGGAUGAUUAUUGGGCCUAAAGCAUCCGUAGCCGGCUCUGUAAGUUUUCGGUUAAAUCUGUACGCUCAACGUACAGGCUGCCGGGAAUACUGCAGAGCUAGGGAGUGGGAGAGGUAGACGGUACUCGGUAGGAAGGGGUAAAAUCCUUUGAUCUAUUGAUGACCACCUGUGGCGAAGGCGGCUCACUGGCUCGAUACUGACGCUGAGGUGCGAAAGUGUGGGGAGCAAACAGG